This 270-nucleotide ribosomal RNA is filed under the name Escherichia coli. RNAcentral's name for it is "partial 23S ribosomal RNA". It matches the Rfam family "Bacterial large subunit ribosomal RNA", at positions 2673 to 2925 of the family's 2925-position model. The record is from RNAcentral. Lineage: Bacteria; Pseudomonadati; Pseudomonadota; Gammaproteobacteria; Enterobacterales; Enterobacteriaceae.
UGCUCCUAGUACGAGAGGACCGGAGUGGACGCAUCACUGGUGUUCGGGUUGUCAUGCCAAUGGCACUGCCCGGUAGCUAAAUGCGGACGAGAUAAGUGCUGAAAGCAUCUAAGCACGAAACUUGCCCCGAGAUGAGUUCUCCCUGACUCCUUGAGAGUCCUGAAGGAACGUUGAAGACGACGACGUUGAUAGGCCGGGUGUGUAAGCGCAGCGAUGCGUUGAGCUAACCGGUACUAAUGAACCGUGAGGCUUAACCUUACAACGCCGAAG